RNAcentral lists this ribosomal RNA (521 nucleotides) under uncultured Glomus. RNAcentral describes it as "SSU rRNA". It matches the Rfam family "Eukaryotic small subunit ribosomal RNA", at positions 569 to 1092 of the family's 1831-position model. The record is from RNAcentral. Lineage: Eukaryota; Fungi; Glomeromycota; Glomeromycetes; Glomerales; Glomeraceae.
AGCAGCCGCGGUAAUUCCAGCUCCAAUAGCGUAUAUUAAAGUUGUUGCAGUUAAAAAGCUCGUAGUUGAAUUUCGGGAUCAGUACGCCGGUCGUGCCUCCGGUAUGUACUGGUGUCACUGGUUCCUCCCUUCUGAAGAACCAUCAUGCUAUUAAUUUAGUGUGGUGGGAAAUCAGGACUGUUACUUUGAAAAAAUUAGAGUGUUUAAAGCAGGCUCACGCUUGAAUACAUUAGCAUGGAAUAAUGAAAUAGGACGUUGAUCCUAUUUUGUUGGUUUCUAGGAUUGACGUAAUGAUUUAUAGGGAUAGUUGGGGGCAUUAGUAUUCAAUUGUCAGAGGUGAAAUUCUUGGAUUUAUUGAAGACUAACUACUGCGAAAGCAUUUGCCAAGGAUGUUUUCGUUAAUCAAGAACGAAAGUUAGGGGAUCGAAGACGAUCAGAUACCGUCGUAGUCUUAACCAUAAACUAUGCCGACUAGGGAUCGGAUGAUGUUAAUUUUCUAAUGACUCAUUCGGCGCCUUACG